Triticum aestivum (bread wheat) is the source of this 138-nucleotide non-coding RNA. The record is from Rfam. NCBI's taxonomy places the organism in Eukaryota, Viridiplantae, Streptophyta, Magnoliopsida, Poales, Poaceae.
AUAAAGUUCCUUUGGGUAAGAAGUACUACUUGUCAUCAAAAUGGAUAAAAGGAGAUGUAUCUAGACGUAUUUUAGUUCUAGAUACAUCCCUUUUUAUCCAUUUUGAUGACAAGUAUUUUUAGACGGAGGGAGCUUAUA